This 237-nucleotide long non-coding RNA is filed under the name Parus major (Great Tit). RNAcentral's name for it is "lncRNA (ENSPMJG00000008056.1)". Lineage: Eukaryota; Metazoa; Chordata; Aves; Passeriformes; Paridae. The record is from RNAcentral.
AUGGGGGUCUCAUGCCCUGGACCUCCUGAAUUCACAGUUUUCACAAUAUACAUGAUCUUUGCAUCAUCCAGGUUAAAUCUACCACAUCAACUGCAGCGAUCACAAACCGUAGUGCCUGAGGCCAGCUGUGAAUGCCACUGCAGCAAAGCUGUCACCACUGCUUAUCCAGACUGUGCAGAGGGAAAGCCUGCUUGGGAUGUGCAGCUCAGACAGUCUAAGUUGUCUUCUUGGCUUUAA